UAGAGAGAGAGAGAGAGAAAACAAAAGCCAUGGCAUUAGGCCAUGGCUAGCAAAUUGGAGCUCAAAUUUGUUGAUCCAAAAUCAGAUUUUUCAAAGUAUUCCAACCAGUUAGGAAGGCUAUAAUAACGUGGAUUAGUCAUUUGGAGCAACAAGAACAAGUAUUAGUUCAUUUCACAACUUCUAGCCAAAUUAAGAAGCCAACUUGUUAAGGAUAAGUACCAUUGGGCAGCAAGUACAAGUAUAAUACGACUAAACGCAAAAGGCGGGCCCGACUCGGGUCAAUACCCGUCCGUGGGUCCCGCGACUUUCCUUUAUGUAAUUCGGACGACUUUUGAAAGAAUUUGGUAUGAUUAUCAUUUCGAAUUUCAAGUAUGGUCAUUUACUUAUAUUUGAGUCUAUGAUAAUGAUUUUAUGCAUAUGGUUACUCAUGACUCUGCUCGUGCGUUCUGUUAUAUCUUUCGCCGGUUCCCGGGCCGGUUAUGUUAUCGUGCGCACUUUGAUAUACUCCGGAGUUAUGCUGUGUUUAUGGUUCACCGAGCUACUCGCAAAAGAGGGUCGGGUUCCACCUAUAUUUGGUGUUAUGCUGUGUAUGGCGUUAUGUUGUGAUGUGAUAUGUGACGGGGAUACGGAGAUUUGAAACUUUCUGGUGUUAUGCUGUGUUAUGGCGCCAUCGACGGGUGGGCGACCAUAUUCUUCUGUACCCUAUGCAUUACUUACAUAUUUUUGAAAGUAAGCAAAUUUUGAUAUGUUGGAUUUGCACUUAUGUUUGGUACUUCCAUUUCGUUUAUGUCUCAGAUUUGCUUUCUGUAUAUUCUGCUUUGCAUACUCAGUACAUAUUUCGUACUGACCCCCUUUCUUCGGGGGGCUGCGUUUCAUGCCCGCAGGUACAGACGCACAGUUUGGUGAUCUACCCAUUUAGGACACCCUCUUCUGCUGUUUGGAGUGCUCCUCUCAUUUCAGAGCACACAUUUUGGUAUAUAUUCGUUCGCUAUGUAUAUAUGUAUUUGUUCAGGGGCACGGCGGGGCCCUGUCCCGCCAUAUGAUUCAGUUUGUCUGUUUAGAGGUCUGUAGACGUAUUUGUGGGUGUGUGUGCCUACUUCUGUACGGAUGUGUUUGCAUGACUC
Lycium barbarum (goji berry) is the source of this 1124-nucleotide long non-coding RNA. RefSeq lists it as uncharacterized. Lineage: Eukaryota; Viridiplantae; Streptophyta; Magnoliopsida; Solanales; Solanaceae. The transcript is spliced from 3 exons. The record is from RefSeq and is a predicted model, not a curated record.